This is a long non-coding RNA of Sapajus apella (tufted capuchin), 1656 nucleotides long. RefSeq lists it as uncharacterized. Lineage: Eukaryota; Metazoa; Chordata; Mammalia; Primates; Cebidae. The transcript is spliced from 2 exons. The record is from RefSeq and is a predicted model, not a curated record.
AUUCUACUUUAGCUUCCAGGAUUAAAAAAAAAAAAAAAAAAGCAUUUAUUAUACUAACGCCACUAAAAUCUUGAUUCUAAAAUAUAGAUUAAUUACCUUCUUAACAUGAAAUUUGCGUUGGAAUCCAAAUUUAAUGAUUCCAAAUAUUUCCCCAUUUACAUUUUUCCAUUGUGGUGUUUCUGUAGGAGCUGAAUAUAACAUUUAAUGUGAUACUAGUAAUAAUAGUUAACAAAGGCUGCUUAUGUAUAGUCCAGUGCUAUACUCAGCACUUCACAUAUGUUAGCUUUUAAAAUCCUUACAACAAUACUAUGAAGUAUGUGUUAUAAUUAUCAUCCCAUUUUACAGAUAAGAAAACAAUAGCACAAGAAGUUAUAUAACUUGGUCAAGGUUAUAGCUAUUAAUAAACAGAGACAAGAUUUAUACCAGACAACUCAAUCUAAAGCCUAUGUUCUCAAUUACUAGGAAAAUCAGCUCACUAUUGUAGUGACGGUACAGUGAUUUGAGCCACAAAAUCCAACAUCAAGAUUUCCUUUAAUAUCAGUGUCACGUUAUCCGAUGGUUUGCUCAAGUGUUGGUUUUUAAGUUUUUAAUCACAGGCAAGUAUGUAAAUAAUAAUUUUUACCUGGGAAAAUCAUAUUUUACUUGAAUAUAAAUUUGUUUAUUUAAAAAUAGAAGACAUCUGGUUCAUUCAUCAACAAAAUGCUAUGAGAAACCAUAUAAGAUUAUGUUCAUUUACGACUUCCUGUCGGCUUUAUUUUGUAUGUGAUGUAAGAAGUGAUUAAUGAGUCAUUUCAGAAAUGAAGUAUCUUUAUAUCAAAGAUGAAUGUUUAAAAAUACUGGAAACGAAAGUCUUAAGGCCAGUGUUAGGACCUACAGGAUGAAUACACCUAGGCACAUAGUCCUGUUUGUCCUACAGCAACUGGCACCUACCAUUCAAACUUGUCUUCAAUCUCAAUGAUUGUUUCAUUUUUCUUUUGCCUUCCCGGGAUAAUUUUUUCCUCAACCUUCAGGCAACUAAGUCUUUUACCUUUUCUUUCCUCUCAAAUAUUAUCUUCCCUUGUCUACCUCUCUGGCCAUCCUUCCAUAAGCAGGACAGUGAAUGAGCAAAAACACAGAUGUAUGCUCUAAAAGAGCUUAUAAUUUCAUUGUUGAGGAAGUCCAUCAUACAAAAAAUAUAAACCUGCAACCAUGAUAAGUGCUUCGACGACAAGAUACAAGGUGUUAUGAGGGUCUAAAAUGAAAAGGUUAAGGAAGGCUUCCUGACCAAGUGCUAUUUGAACUGAAAGAUGAGUAUUAAUCAAAAAAAAAAAAAAGAUGAGUAUUAAUCUAACAAAGAGAGGGAUAGAAGGGACCAGCAGACACAGGGAGCAGCAUGUGAAGAAAUAUGUUCGGAAGGAGCAUGGUGAGAAUGAGGUGUGGACAAAAUGAGAGAAAGCUGGAUUGGAGAAAUUGAGGAACACUGUGAGGUGAGGCUGCAGAGGCAGAAGGAUCUGACCAAGAGUGACCUCAUAGACCAUGGUCAGGAGUUUUGUUCAUCCCAAGGGAAAACCAUGGGAAAGUUUGUUUCUGGAACAUUGUGUCAUUUUAGAUGAUGUAUAAUGCUCAUUCUUACCACAACCAUCACCAUCAAGGGUAUCUAGACUACUCUGUAUAUUU